UACUUUCAAAGGAUAAAAGACAUCCACUAAUUUUAGGCAUUAAACACUCUUGGUGCAACUCCAAGUGAAAGUA
RNAcentral lists this transfer RNA (73 nucleotides) under Coleonyx variegatus. Its description in RNAcentral is "tRNA-Leu specifying CUN codons". Lineage: Eukaryota; Metazoa; Chordata; Lepidosauria; Squamata; Eublepharidae. The record is from RNAcentral.